UCUUUGAGAGCCCAUGGACUGUAGCCCACCAGGCUCCUCUGUCCAUGGGAUUUCCCAGACAAGAAUACUGGAGUGGGUGGCCAUUUCCUACUCCAGGGGAUCUUCCCGACCCAGGGAUGGAACCCGCAUCUCCUGCGACUCCUGCAUCUCCUGCGUUGGCAGGCAGAUUCUUUCCUGCUGAGACCUGAAGCCACCCAGCAUGGCUAGGGGCCCUGCUACCAGCUUAGCUUCGGAACGAAGGGGCUAGAAGAACACAGGACAGCUUUCUCCAAGAGAUUUAGAGCCAGAGAUGGCAAAGAAGUGGAGGAGGAUCUCCCUGCUUCUCUUCUGAGUCCACUUUUCCAGCAGUUUCAUCAGCUUCAACAUCCACCCCCCACCCCCCGUAAGAAUCUGACUCCACCACAGCUCCCUACAGCCAGUGACCUUGCUUUUCUGCUUCUUGGUCCCAGCACACGGCACGUGCACGUGAAGAGUGUGAUCUCAACAACUUGCCACAAUAGAAAUCUGAAGCUUACGAGCAGCAAUGAUGUUACAGGCCAUAUAGUGCGGCUCCUGCCAUUGAACUCAGAAGCAGCAAAGACCUGCCCAAGGUCACAGAGAUGAUGGAAGAGAUUCAGCCAGGAUGCCUGAUCUGAUUUUCAGAGAUCAGCCAAAGCUAAAGCUAGUUCACUUGGCUUAGUUUGGGAACCAGGGGACCCUGUUGGGAUCCCAUACCAGAUCCCCUGCGUUGGCUCCAGCUGAAGCUCAGUUACUGCUGGAAGAGGCAUGAUGCUCUCAUAAUGAAAUAAUAUCUUUAGCAAAGAUCCUUGAGGCUACUUAACUGUGAAAUAAUUACAUGGGCCUCAAAACUGGGAGAUCAAGUGUUUCUAUUCCAACAUCCCAUGAUGCUCUUAGAAAAAGCUUCACUAUAAACUGCAGGUGGGGUGGGGAGAGGCAAGAUUUCUGAGCCAGGACACAGUGUUUUAAUUCCACCUUUUAUGUUUUGGCAUCAUCUCAUCUAUGU
Molecule: long non-coding RNA, 1003 nt
Organism: Bos taurus (domestic cattle)
Lineage: Eukaryota; Metazoa; Chordata; Mammalia; Artiodactyla; Bovidae
Source: Ensembl